Molecule: non-coding RNA, 2379 nt
Organism: Cyanistes caeruleus (blue tit)
Lineage: Eukaryota; Metazoa; Chordata; Aves; Passeriformes; Paridae
Source: RefSeq, a predicted model, not a curated record
CAAACUUUUAUUAACCAAACAAGACAGUGUGAAGGCAUAAAAACUGGCACUGAUUUUCUCUGUGAAUUGCUGCAUUUCUAGCACUAUGUGUCCUCCUAAACCAAGACUGCAAAUCUGUGCUCUUCGCUAAAGCUGAGCAUAUGAUCCUUAAGGAUGCAAAGGAAAAUGGAGAGCUGUGCUUGGAGGGUUUCCAGCUGAUCAAUUGGGAAAAGGGCAGCCAUAGACCUGAGUAUGCUGACCAGGAGAAAAGCUAGGGAGAAAGAGGCAUAUUUUGCCAGCUGCACUCCCAGUUAUUUAGCCCGCAGCUGUAGCUGGGGAGAGGGUGAGCAGCGUGUAAGGUGAAUGCAAGCUCACAUCCACUCAAGGUAACUCAUUUUCUCAUUACUGAGAAGUGUGCUGCACAUGUUGGCAACAUCCUGCAGGCACUGGUUUCAGGCCUCCCCUGUGACAGGGCUGCUUGCUGCAAGGCAAAAACAUGGAAUGCAUGGACAACGUCCAUGCUGACUGGACAUGGAAUGACUGUCUGUGACCUACUUGUCAGCCUCAAGUUAUUUCAGUGUGACAGAGAUCGGCUCCCUCACACUGCCGUUCCAACCUCAGAAGCUGAAAAAGUCCAGGGAAAACUCAGCUCUGCCUCCAGUCCUGGGCUGGGGUCGCAGAUAAAAUGAGUGCCUGCAUGAAGCAGGCUGGGAUUGCAAGGAUCUGGGCAAGCAGAGGUAACAUCUGACCAACAGCUGCAGCGUGGCUGAGGCCAGCAUGGCACUGUGCACACAGGAAGAAGCCCAUCCAGCAGACCUGAGAGGGCAGCAGGCUCCAAGCAGCUGAAGAGGUGUUUCGGAACAGCACUGCUUCCGCAAGGGCAGCUGUAUCUGUAGCUGGAGCCUAAUUGCCCCAGUGGCUUCCACCAUAUGCAAAGGUCUCUCAAGAGGCUCUGGGGCCCCUGCUGUUGGGAUCAUGUUCCAACUAGAGGGAGGCAGUCCUGGCAGGCACUCCACCAGAUGCAGGAAUGACUUUAUAGGCAGCACUUGGCAUUCUGAGCACAUCAGAGGGUAUGUAAUUUGGUGUGCUCCUACUCAGUGCUCAUGCCCUGGGAAGUGCCAAAAAUACAAGGCAAGUACUAAGUUAAAGCACUUCCUCUUCCAUGGGCUGGAAGAUGUCAACCCACAGAGGCUCAUGACAACAGGUAAUGACUGACUUGACUCUUUCAAUUAAAUCAGGGUGAGAAGAUGUCAAAGCGGCAAUUAGGAGUGAAGUGUUUAAAGAAAAGAGACAAUUUGAACAGAAUCACCAUUUUCAUCUCAAUAUCGUUACAUGUCUCUUAUUUAGAACAGAUGUCUCCUCAUUCUGUGCAAAACAGAAAAGGACCUGUGAGGUCUAAAAUACUGGCUCAUACACAACAAUUUCUGGCUUCUGACAGCAAAUCCACUGCCUCAGACUGUGCCAAACCAAACCACCUAAUAAUUCUGGGUCCAUCAAGGCUGGCUUUGCAGUGCCCAAAUCUCAGAUGACAUAAUUUUCUCCUCCUUACACCUGUAAACACUGUUCUAUCCCAUUGAAGUCAAACCUGUGCCACAUGCAUUGUAGUUGUGUUUUAGGCCCUCAGAUUCACAACUGAGUUGAUUUUGUUCACAGAGAAAAGACACCAUCAGUCAUCAAAGUUUGGUAAGCUCUUUAAUGGGAAGCUCAUGGUGUAAUGACACUGCUGGAUUUAACACCUUGGUGGUAAAUGAGGAUCAGAGGAAGGAGAAUCAGAAGGCAGGCAGUGCUCCACUGAAGGCUUACACCUUUCAAAGUGCUGAACAAAAGGGCAACUUCUUUUGCUGACUCCUUUCACAGCUUUAUAGUCCCAAAAACAGAUAGGUCUUCCAGCCAGAAAAAUGGUGGAAACCAAACCAAAGACAGCCUUGGCAUGGUGUGGCACAUGAUUUCUGCUUGAUGUGUGGAGGGCUGACUAGUCCCUGCAUUAGUAAAGGAAAACUUGACAAAAGAGUUGCAUUGACUGAAAUCCAGAGCUGACAUUUCUACCACCACCACCCCUGAAGAUGAAAGCUUCUUUUACAUGCAGUGUUACCACAGAUCUUUGCCUACAUGAGCAACAGCAUGUUGGUACAGAAAGAGAAUUUCAAAGUUCAAUGUAUUUUACAUGAAACCAGUAAGCUUCACUGUAGUCAGGAAUAACUAGUUCAAAGAAGUUUGGGUUUUUUUUCUUGUAGACAAAUGAAGGCCCUUUUCAUUAAUCUGUAGGUUUUUUUUAUAUCCAAGCUCAUAGCGACAGUGCAGUGCUACUCAGCUCUGUAUAAACUGGGGUUUGCAUUAAUGUGGGUGUGUCUUUAGGGACUGUCUUUCUUGAAAAAAAAAAUCACCAAUGAUAAAAAAAAA